CCUACGGGGGCUGCAGUGGGGAAUAUUGGACAAUGGGCGAAAGCCUGAUCCAGCCAUGCCGCGUGUGUGAAGAAGGCCUUCGGGUUGUAAAGCACUUUCAGUGGGGAAGAAAGCCUUGGGGCUAAUACCCUCGAGGAAGGACAUCACCCACAGAAGAAGCACCGGCUAACUCCGUGCCAGCAGCCGCGGUAAUACGGAGGGUGCGAGCGUUAAUCGGAAUUACUGGGCGUAAAGCGCGCGUAGGCGGUCUGAUAAGCCGGUUGUGAAAGCCCCGGGCUCAACCUGGGAACGGCAUCCGGAACUGUCAGGCUAGAGUGCAGGAGAGGAAGGUAGAAUUCCCGGUGUAGCGGUGAAAUGCGUAGAGAUCGGGAGGAAUACCAGUGGCCAAGGCGGCCUUCUGGACUGACACUGACGCUGAGGUGCGAAAGCGUGGGUAGCAAACAGGAUUAGAUACCCGAGUAGUC
This 464-nucleotide ribosomal RNA is filed under the name Vreelandella stevensii. Its description in RNAcentral is "partial 16S ribosomal RNA". It matches the Rfam family "Bacterial small subunit ribosomal RNA", at positions 338 to 795 of the family's 1533-position model. The record is from RNAcentral. Lineage: Bacteria; Pseudomonadati; Pseudomonadota; Gammaproteobacteria; Oceanospirillales; Halomonadaceae.